UGUGDAUUGCAGAAUUCAGUGAAUCAUCGAAUCUUUGAACGCACCUUGCGCCCUUUGGUAUUCCGAAGGCACACCUGUUUGAGUGUCGUGA
RNAcentral lists this ribosomal RNA (91 nucleotides) under Gloeomyces cerussatus. Its description in RNAcentral is "Acanthophysellum cerussatum partial 5.8S ribosomal RNA". It matches the Rfam family "5.8S ribosomal RNA", at positions 66 to 154 of the family's 154-position model. From Rfam's summary of the family: 5.8S ribosomal RNA (5.8S rRNA) is a component of the large subunit of the eukaryotic ribosome. It is transcribed by RNA polymerase I as part of the 45S precursor that also contains 18S and 28S rRNA. The record is from RNAcentral. Lineage: Eukaryota; Fungi; Basidiomycota; Agaricomycetes; Russulales; Stereaceae.